This 296-nucleotide long non-coding RNA is filed under the name Pan troglodytes (chimpanzee). Its description in RNAcentral is "long non-coding RNA NONPTRT014078". Lineage: Eukaryota; Metazoa; Chordata; Mammalia; Primates; Hominidae. The record is from RNAcentral.
ACUAGGGACUUUGGGUGAUAAUGGUGUGUCAAGAUAGGUUCAUCAAUUGUAACAAGUGUACCUGGUGCAGGGCAUUGAUAGUGCGGAGGCUGUGUGGGGUUAAGGAUUGUACGGGAAAUCUCUGUACCUUCCACUCAAUUUUGCUGUGAACCUAAAAAAGGUUGGGGAGGAGAGGAUGCAAACUUUAGGUGUUAAAAGUUAAAACCACUCUUGAAAUAAUGGACCAAUUAAUGACAAAAAAAUUAUAAUUUAUGAAUGAGGAUUAGUCAUAUAGGUGUACAAUUAAGGUAAAAUUU